Molecule: ribosomal RNA, 497 nt
Filed under: uncultured bacterium
Lineage: Bacteria
Description: partial 16S ribosomal RNA
Rfam family: Bacterial small subunit ribosomal RNA
Source: RNAcentral
GAUGGACGCUGGCGGCGUGCCUAAUACAUGCAAGUCGAGCGAACGGACGAGAAGCUUGCUUCUCUGAUGUUAGCGGCGGACGGGUGAGUAACACGUGGAUAACCUACCUAUAAGACUGGGAUAACUUCGGGAAACCGGAGCUAAUACCGGAUGAUAUUUUGAACCGCAUGGUUCAAAAGUGAAAGACGGUCUUGCUGUCACUUAUAGAUGGAUCCGCGCUGCAUUAGCUAGUUGGUAAGGUAACGGCUUACCAAGGCAACGAUGCAUAGCCGACCUGAGAGGGUGAUCGGCCACACUGGAACUGAGACACGGUCCAGACUCCUACGGGAGGCAGCAGUAGGGAAUCUUCCGCAAUGGGCGAAAGCCUGACGGAGCAACGCCGCGUGAGUGAUGAAGGUCUUCGGAUCGUAAAACUCUGUUAUUAGGGAAGAACAUAUGUGUAAGUAACUGUGCACAUCUUGACGGUACCUAAUCAGAAAACCACGGCUAACUACGUG